Molecule: non-coding RNA, 870 nt
Organism: Manis javanica (Malayan pangolin)
Lineage: Eukaryota; Metazoa; Chordata; Mammalia; Pholidota; Manidae
Source: RefSeq, a predicted model, not a curated record
UCAAAUUCAUGGAGCAAAACAGAGUUAUGCUAAGGACAUUGGAAUUAAUAUUUUGUUUCCUGUCUUAGGUGUUUUGUUUCUUUUUGGCGGGGCUGGGCCUACAGGACUUUACCUUCAAUUGCACAAGUUUCACCCUUAUAAAUAUCAUUGACCACUCUUCAUCUUUUCUUCUAAAACAGCUCAGUUAAUCUGACUUCCCACUGUUAGAUCUUCUAGUAAUACCAUUUUAAAGGUUUUCAGCAGAAAAAUAUGCCAAUGUUCUGGAAGAAGUGCUAAAUUUCUAUGUUCAGUCUUUUCUGUGGCUGCAAAUGGAGUUUCAACAAGCAAAACCAAGAAGUUUACUUUAAAGUAAUGUGUGUGUGCUGCAAAACUGUUGAGGAGGAGAGAUUUGAGCUUAAAAAGUUGUUACUGUACAUCUUCAGUUGGUAUUUCCUUGAAGAAGUUUCAUAUGGUUUUAAAUUAUUUAUCCAAGAGGGUAUGUGAUAAACAGUUGAGGCUUUCCAUCAUGAUGUGUAAGAUGUAUUGGACAUAUACUCAUCGUCGCAAAAAGGAAUUCUUACUUUGAACGCAAGCUGCCAGAUGGAAUAUCUGAAUGCCUGUGUGUGUGUACACAAAGUGGGGAUUGGAUUUUCCUGGCUCUAUGCAUACAGUGUGUGCUCACCGACAUGCUAUGAGAAGCCCAAACCCGUGAGAGGCCAUGUGACGAUGCCCCGGACAACAGACCCAGCUGAACCCCGAUUUCAAGUCAUCUCAGUUGGGUGCAGACAGGACAGAAGACACCUUCAGAUGACCCCAGCCUGCAGCACUUCAAGUCUGCUCAGCUUGGGCUCCAGACAGGAGGUAUGGCAGCAAGCCCAUCCCCCUGUGUGC